UACGUAGGGUGCAAGCGUUGUCCGGAAUUAUUGGGCGUAAAGAGCUCGUAGGCGGUUUGUCGCGUCGGAUGUGAAAAUCCAGGGCUCAACCCUGGACCUGCAUUCGAUACGGGCAGACUAGAGUUCGGUAGGGGAGACUGGAAUUCCUGGUGUAGCGGUGGAAUGCGUAGAGAUCGGGAAGAACAUCAGUGGCGAAGGCGGUCUGCUGGGCCGUUGCUGACGCUGAGGCGCGACAGCGUGGGGAGCAAACAGG
This 253-nucleotide ribosomal RNA is filed under the name uncultured bacterium. RNAcentral describes it as "partial 16S ribosomal RNA". It matches the Rfam family "Bacterial small subunit ribosomal RNA", at positions 524 to 776 of the family's 1533-position model. The record is from RNAcentral.